This 1748-nucleotide long non-coding RNA is filed under the name Ananas comosus (pineapple). Its description in RNAcentral is "long non-coding RNA (ACOM_LNC002702)". The record is from RNAcentral. Lineage: Eukaryota; Viridiplantae; Streptophyta; Magnoliopsida; Poales; Bromeliaceae.
CCCAAUGUAUUAUUAAGAGUCAAAUAUCACUCCUGUAUUUUCACGUUUUCUCACUUAAGUAUUCUAAGUAUACUGUAAUUUUAUUUUAAUUUUUUAUUAGCACCUUUGUUAAUUCUUCCUUAAAUUAUAUAUAAAAAUUUAAAUAUCUCACCGAUGAUUUAUUAUAUAUUUACUUUAAUAUUCUAUAAUUUACUAAAUUUUUAUUUUAGUAUUAUAUGAUUUUAAUUUUAUUAUUAAUUUAAUAAAAAAUUAAUAGUACGAAAGUGAUAUAUUUUAAACAGUACAGUACUAAAAUGAAAAAGUGUAAAACCACAUGGUGAUAUUUGAAGUUGACUCUAUUAUUAUCACGUUGCUACGCGCACAUAUGAAUGGAUUAGAAUUUAGUAUUUAUUUGGUUAGAAAAAUAGUCUUUAGAAUUUAAUAAUAGUAUUUAAGAAUUAAUAUUUAGAGUAUGAUAAUAAUAUUGUCGCGUGGUUAAUAAUAUUUUAUGGGACAUUUGUGGGUACCUAUAGCAGCUUGCUUUUUUUUUAAUUAUUAUUCAACCUCUCCGCUGCUUUUCUGGAUGGGGAUCGGAUUGCGUGUCUGACAUGGGGUCCUGCAAAUGGACGGGUUCUUCCAUGAAAUUACCUUUUUAGCCCUCUUUAUAGAUUUCUUUUUCAUAAUAAUAAUAAUAAUAAUAAUUAUUAUUAUUAUUAUUAUAAUAUAUAGCUUAUAUAUAUAUACUAGAGUUGAGCUAGAAUACUACCGAUAGUAAAUGAGCCGUUUUACUACCAAUUUAUUUUCGAUGAUAGAGCUUCCAAAUUGACGAUCGGCUCCGUUAAAUAUGAUCUAAACCAUUUAAACUACCUAGAAAUUAAAUUUCACGCACUUUCGAUAUUGUUUUUUUAUCCAUCAAGUGAACAAAAAAAUGAAUGGCUGAAAAUAAAUACUUUUUAAAAAAUGAUGAUAGGAGUCUUGUAAUCAAGAUCAAGAGUAUAUAUCUUAUUUUAAAUAGUUUAAAGAAUUUUCUAACAAAAAUUCAAUUGAUUNGUUUUAAAUAGUUUAAAGAAUUUUCUAACAAAAAUUCAAUUGAUUUGGAUAUCUUUAAGCCGUUAAACGAGAAAACACCUCUUAUCGACCAUUAAAAUUACAAAUUUUGAAACCCUUUGAUCAUUAGGCAAGUGAUGUCGAAAAGAUUUGAAAUUUGAUUUAUAAAUACUUCAAGUGGUAUAGAUCAUGUUCAAUGGAGCCGAUCGUCAGUUUGGAAGUUCUAUCAUCGAAAACAAAUCGGUAGUAAAACGGCUCGUUUACUACCGAUAGUAUUCUAGCUCAACUCAUAUACACUACAAUAUUUUUAAUCUUUUGACACAGAUAUGAAAAAAGUUUAGAAUCUAAAAUUUAUGAUUUAGUUAUACAGUGUAGAAUUUAAUUGUGGUCUUUAUUAUUUAGGUACUGUUUGGUUGGGGAAUAAACAUGGAAUAAAGAAGUUUAUCCUCUUUAUUCUACCAAACGAAGUGAAAAAUGACUAUUCCUCUCUUAACGGGUUAUUCUAGAAUAACCCGUUAAGAGAGGAGAACUACUAUUCUUCCCACUCCAUGGAAUAGCAACUCUUGCUUUUUAUUUUCCCCUUUAAAUAAUAGUUUACUUAUUAAACUAUGAUAAUUAGUAUAUUAUAUUCUUAACAAAUCAAAUUCUUAAAAUAAUUUUUUCUAUUAAUUAGUUUCUAAUAAUUAUAAAAUAUUGCUAACUAAUAACUAAUUAACAUAUUU